Molecule: ribosomal RNA, 119 nt
Organism: Pteropus vampyrus (large flying fox)
Lineage: Eukaryota; Metazoa; Chordata; Mammalia; Chiroptera; Pteropodidae
Source: Ensembl
GUCUGCGGCCAUGCCACCCUGAAUAAGCCCAAUCCUGUCUGAUCUCGGAAGCUAAGCAGGGUCAGACCUGGUUAGUAUUUGGAUGGGAGAUAAUCUAGGAAGACCAGAUGCUUUAGGCA